ACUUAAAUUGAAGAGUUUGAUCAUGGCUCAGAUUGAACGCUGGCGGCAGGCCUAACACAUGCAAGUCGAGCGGUAGCACAGAGAGCUUGCUCUCGGGUGACGAGCGGCGGACGGGUGAGUAAUGUCUGGGAAACUGCCUGAUGGAGGGGGAUAACUACUGGAAACGGUAGCUAAUACCGCAUAACGUCGCAAGACCAAAGUGGGGGACCUUCGGGCCUCAUGCCAUCAGAUGUGCCCAGAUGGGAUUAGCUAGUAGGUGGGGUAACGGCUCACCUAGGCGACGAUCCCUAGCUGGUCUGAGAGGAUGACCAGCCACACUGGAACUGAGACACGGUCCAGACUCCUACGGGAGGCAGCAGUGGGGAAUAUUGCACAAUGGGCGCAAGCCUGAUGCAGCCAUGCCGCGUGUGUGAAGAAGGCCUUCGGGUUGUAAAGCACUUUCAGCGGGGAGGAAGGCGUUAAGGUUAAUAACCUUGGCGAUUGACGUUACCCGCAGAAGAAGCACCGGCUAACUCCGUGCCAGCAGCCGCGGUAAUACGGAGGGUGCAAGCGUUAAUCGGAAUUACUGGGCGUAAAGCGCACGCAGGCGGUCUGUCAAGUCGGAUGUGAAAUCCCCGGGCU
RNAcentral lists this ribosomal RNA (621 nucleotides) under Klebsiella pneumoniae. RNAcentral describes it as "bacterial SSU rRNA". It matches the Rfam family "Bacterial small subunit ribosomal RNA", at positions 1 to 609 of the family's 1533-position model. Lineage: Bacteria; Pseudomonadati; Pseudomonadota; Gammaproteobacteria; Enterobacterales; Enterobacteriaceae. The record is from RNAcentral.